Molecule: ribosomal RNA, 301 nt
Filed under: uncultured bacterium
Lineage: Bacteria
Description: partial 16S ribosomal RNA
Rfam family: Bacterial small subunit ribosomal RNA
Source: RNAcentral
CAGUCGCCGCGGGAAUACGUAGGUAGCAAGCGUUGUCCGGAAUUACUGGGCGUAAAGGGCUCGCAGGCGGUUUCUUAAGUCUGAUGUGAAAGCCCCCGGCUCAACCGGGGAGGGUCAUUGGAAACUGGAAACUUGAGUGCAGAAGAGGAGAGUGGAAUUCCACGUGUAGCGGUGAAAUGCGUAGAGAUGUGGAGGAACACCAGUGGCGAAGGCGACUCUCUGGUCUGUAACUGACGCUGAGGAGCGAAAGCGUGGGGAGCGAACAGGAUUAGAUACCCCCGUAGUCCCUGUCUCUUAUACA